GUGUGGCCAGAUGGUGAGAAAGGGCCCACUUCUGUCUUCACAGAAGAGCUACUUUAACACAGAGGUGAACUUGGAAGGACUACAGUAAACGAUGGUGGCCAUCAGCAGCCAUGGCAUGGAGACAUCGCCUCCUUUAUGAUACUUCCAGUCGAUCUGGGAGGUGGGGGAGGAUUUGAAAUGUAAAUGCAAGGCAGAGUGAGCCUCAUUGCCCCCUGCAGGGAAGCAGAACAGUCUGGUUUGGCUAGGUCCCUGAAGGGAGCUCCGUG
Molecule: long non-coding RNA, 266 nt
Filed under: Homo sapiens (human)
Lineage: Eukaryota; Metazoa; Chordata; Mammalia; Primates; Hominidae
Description: non-protein coding lnc-ALPP-2:1
Source: RNAcentral